RNAcentral lists this ribosomal RNA (463 nucleotides) under uncultured Desulfobulbus sp. RNAcentral describes it as "bacterial SSU rRNA". It matches the Rfam family "Bacterial small subunit ribosomal RNA", at positions 925 to 1382 of the family's 1533-position model. Lineage: Bacteria; Pseudomonadati; Thermodesulfobacteriota; Desulfobulbia; Desulfobulbales; Desulfobulbaceae. The record is from RNAcentral.
ACAAGCGGUGGAGUAUGUGGUUUAAUUCGAUGCAACGCGAAGAACCUUACCUGGUCUUGACAUCCCGGAGACCCUUAGGAAACUAGGGGGUGCUUCCAUCUGGAAGAAUCUGGAGACAGGUGCUGCAUGGCUGUCGUCAGCUCGUGUCGUGAGAUGUUGGGUUAAGUCCCGCAACGAGCGCAACCCUUGCCUUUAGUUGCCAGCAGUUCGGCUGGGCACUCUAAAGGGACUGCCGGUGUUAAACCGGAGGAAGGUGGGGAUGACGUCAAGUCCUCAUGGCCUUUAUGACCAGGGCUACACACGUACUACAAUGGCCGAUACAAAGGGCAGCGACACUGCGAGGUGAAGCCAAUCCCGUAAAAUCGGUCUCAGUCCGGAUUGGAGUCUGCAACUCGACUGCGUGAAGUCGGAAUCGCUAGUAAUCGUGAAUCAGAAUGUCACGGUGAAUACGUUCCCGGGCCUU